RNAcentral lists this ribosomal RNA (400 nucleotides) under phytoplankton environmental sample. Its description in RNAcentral is "partial small subunit ribosomal RNA". It matches the Rfam family "Eukaryotic small subunit ribosomal RNA", at positions 587 to 979 of the family's 1831-position model. The record is from RNAcentral.
AGCUCCAGUAGCGUAUAUUAAAGUUGUUGCAGUUAAAAAGCUCGUAGUUGGAUUUCUGGUUUAAACCGCCCAGCCGGUCGGCGUUAGUCGCACCAGUGCCGGGUUGUGUUUUGCCAUCCGCCCAUCUUCGUCUUCCGUGCUCUUCAUUGAGUUGCGGUUGUACGGUUGGGCCAUUUACUUUGAAAAAAUUAGAGUGUUUAAAGCAGGCAAUUGCUGUGAAUACAUUAGCAUGGAAUAAUAACAUAGGACUUUUGUUCUAUUUUGUUGGUUUCCUGAACGGAAGUAAUGAUUGAUAGGGACAGUUGGGGGUGCUAGUAUUCAGUGGCCAGAGGUGAAAUUCUUGGAUUCGCUGAAGACUAACUUAUGCGAAAGCAUUCACCAAGGAUGUCUUCUUUAAUCA